This 311-nucleotide long non-coding RNA is filed under the name Homo sapiens (human). RNAcentral describes it as "HSALNT0177681". The record is from RNAcentral. Lineage: Eukaryota; Metazoa; Chordata; Mammalia; Primates; Hominidae.
AACCAGGAGGAACCGCAGCUCCACCUGGCUGUGAGUCAAAAAUACCAGGGAGUUUUAAAAAAGCACCAGUACCCAGGGCCUUUCAUAGACCCACAGAACCAGACUCUCCAGGGAUUUCAAGAAAGUUCUCGAAGGAUCCUGAAGUACAGGAGGUUGGGGCGUGUGGCCUGGAUAUGGCCAUCGCUGGCUGCAGGGCCGAGCCGGUCAGCUCAGCUCCUACAGCUGCUGGGAACACUGAGAAGGAGGAUGGGUGUGCAGUACACAGGAGAGCCUGGAACAGAUCAUUCCCUGUUGGGACGAAGGGCAGGAUC